RNAcentral lists this ribosomal RNA (274 nucleotides) under uncultured bacterium. Its description in RNAcentral is "partial 16S ribosomal RNA". It matches the Rfam family "Bacterial small subunit ribosomal RNA", at positions 523 to 796 of the family's 1533-position model. The record is from RNAcentral.
AGACGGAGGGGGCUAGCGUUAUUCGGAAUUACUGGGCGUAAAGGGCGCGUAGGCGGAUUAGUAAGUUGGGAGUGAAAGCCCGGGGCUUAACCUCGGAACUGCUUUCAAAACUGCUAGUCUUGAGUGAAGUAGGGGGUGAUGGAAUUCCUAGUGUAGAGGUGAAAUUCUUAGAUAUUAGGAGGAACACCGGUGGCGAAGGCGGUCACCUGGACUUCAACUGACGCUGAGGCGCGAAAGCGUGGGGAGCAAACAGGAUUAGAAACCCCAGUAGUCC